GUUAACUCUAUUUCAACCCUGCACGGUGGAAACUAAGCCUAUUGCCUCAAUACAAAUUUUACGUCAGAAACGUUUUCAAAAUAAUUUAGCGUACGUCAUUUAAUCUUAAUCGAGAAUUUGUUUAUCUCAAGUAUAAUUCCAGAUCAUGUAUUAGCUUCUACGUCAUUUUAAGUGACUUUUAGAAGUAAGAACUAUAGAAGUACGAAAGGUGUCAAAAGUAACACAUAUGUACGUCUGUUAGCGUUUUAAAAAUUAAUCAGAUUGUCAUCCACUUAUGUCUUAUACGUCACUUCUUACGACUAACGAAAUUUCAUUUUGACAACCAUAAAGCUAAUCAUUGGGAUGCAACAGAGUAAACAUUAGAAUUCUUGUGUCCCCACUCUAUUCCUACGGAAAUGUUCCAUCGUGCGCAUUCUUGUUUGAUUUGUAAGAGGAAGUUAGAUGUAUCGAAUGAAGCGGGUAGUGAAUUUGAGUUUUUACUUGUUUUUGGUAUUUUAUUAAUAUCAUACACUGAUUUUGAUAAUAGACACGUGUAAAUAGAAAUUUGAUGAAUGUGGUCAUUAACUAAUCAAAAUGUGACGAGUCAUAUGAGUGAUGUAUUGAGAAGCAACUGUAUGUACAAACUAACCUAAAAAUGUUCAAACACUGGCAAGAAAUAUAAAAAAAAAAGAUGUAAACAUACAUUAUUUCUUCAUAUAAUAUAAAAGUACUGUUUCUAUGCGAGCAUACAUUUCUUAAUGAAAACUUUGUACGGUAAUUAAUAUUUUAUUAAAUGUUUAAUUCUUUUGAUUCUUUUAAAUGGUUUUGAUACAAAGUAUAAGACAUGUAAAUACUUAGAUAUAGUCAGUUUCUGGACCAUGCUUGCAAAGAAAGGCUUUGGAGUUAAAUGAAGAAUUAAUGGAAACAAGGAGUUUAAAGCUAGUGAAGGUUGGCUGGAGAAAUGGAAAGCUGGAAGAGGAAUUUGAUCGCUAAGAAUAACCGACGUAAAAUUAUCAGCUGACAGUGAAGCGGGAAAUAAAUGAAAAUAGCUCUAGCUAUUAUUCCAAAAGAUGAACCACUUGCUGGAGAAUAAAUAAUAACUAAAAAUGUGCAAAACACCAGCAAGAAAUAUAAAAAUGAGACCAAAGGAAGAAGCAGUCUGGCACUUGCGAAAUAUACAAGAAACUUCAAUGCCUUUCCACGAACAUCAUAUUUCUAACCAGUCAGUAAACCAAAUGACUUAUCGUCCGUACGUAACUCGUACAACGUACUUUAUUCCAGUGAAAGUUAUCAAAUUUUAUCAAAAUUUAUUUAAUUUGUCGCACAUCUACAUCUAUCAAAUGUUUUUGUCUAUAAGCAAUAAAAAUGUUAAGUUACUCUCAUUUAUAACUAUCUCUAUAAUUAUUGAAUUUACAUACUUACAUAUAAAAAAGUUACAAAAAAUAUAUGUGAACAAUUUUGAUGAGAUGAAACACAAUGAGCUAUAAAUUGAGAUGGCAAUGAGCUAUAAACUAAAAAAGUGGCUACAUAAUUUGAAAAUCGACUGUACAUUCAUUGCAGUGCAAAAUAAUGUCUGAAGAUAAGAUAUACGUCAAUAUUUACAUACAUGCCUUGCCUACUGCAAGUUUAGAAUUAUUUAAUAUCUUGUUUUAAAUACUGCAACAUGGAUUCUUUUGGAUUUACCAGCAUGUGUUUUAAAUGGCUAAUAUUCGAUAGAAUAAUAACUUCUGCAUUGAUACCAAUUAUUAGUAUUUUAGUGCAUAGGUAUAGAUAUUCUAGGGAGGUAAUACAUUUUCCAUGUUCCUAUUGGCACCAAUGAAGAAUUGGCGGAUCAAAAGUAUCAUUCCUAAAAGAAUCGCAACAUCUGUAACUGUAACAAAUGCAUUGUAGAAAUUAUUACGAAGUAAAAUUUUUAUUACUGCCAAUAGGGAGACAAUAAAUUUUUCAAAAUAA
Long non-coding RNA from Cephus cinctus (wheat stem sawfly), 1932 nucleotides. RefSeq lists it as uncharacterized. The transcript has 2 exons. The record is from RefSeq and is a predicted model, not a curated record. NCBI's taxonomy places the organism in Eukaryota, Metazoa, Arthropoda, Insecta, Hymenoptera, Cephidae.